CCCUGUAGCUCAGUUGGUAGAGCAUGGUGUUUGCAACGCCAGGGGUGUGGGUUCGAUUCCCACAGGGG
This 68-nucleotide transfer RNA is filed under the name Salmo salar (Atlantic salmon). It matches the Rfam family "tRNA". Rfam says of the family: Transfer RNA (tRNA) molecules are approximately 80 nucleotides in length. Their secondary structure includes four short double-helical elements and three loops (D, anti-codon, and T loops). Further hydrogen bonds mediate the characteristic L-shaped molecular structure. tRNAs have two regions of fundamental functional importance: the anti-codon, which is responsible for specific mRNA codon recognition, and the 3' end, to which the tRNAs corresponding amino acid is attached (by aminoacyl-tRNA synthetases). tRNAs cope with the degeneracy of the genetic code in two manners: having more than one tRNA (with a specific anti-codon) for a particular amino acid; and 'wobble' base-pairing, i.e. permitting non-standard base-pairing at the 3rd anti-codon position. Lineage: Eukaryota; Metazoa; Chordata; Actinopteri; Salmoniformes; Salmonidae. The record is from Rfam by way of RNAcentral.